GUUUUUUUUUUUUCUUUUUC
RNAcentral lists this microRNA (20 nucleotides) under Corchorus olitorius. Its description in RNAcentral is "bta-miR-232". Lineage: Eukaryota; Viridiplantae; Streptophyta; Magnoliopsida; Malvales; Malvaceae. RNAcentral also lists the same sequence under 1 other name. The record is from RNAcentral.